RNAcentral lists this ribosomal RNA (133 nucleotides) under Pteropus vampyrus (large flying fox). Lineage: Eukaryota; Metazoa; Chordata; Mammalia; Chiroptera; Pteropodidae. The record is from RNAcentral.
GCAGAAACUCCCCUGGCUGCUGGCAUGUGGACGGUCUCCUUCAGGGUUGGAAAAUAACAAUCUCGGAAGCUAAGCAGGGUCGGGCCUGGUUAGUACUUGGAUGGGAGACAACCUAGGAAGAUCGGGUGCUGUA